Molecule: long non-coding RNA, 1508 nt
Filed under: Manacus vitellinus (golden-collared manakin)
Lineage: Eukaryota; Metazoa; Chordata; Aves; Passeriformes; Pipridae
Description: lncRNA (ENSMVIG00005004182.1)
Source: RNAcentral
AUUUGCAGUGGGUGAGGUUUUCUAAACAUUAAAAAUACAGAAACAAAACAUAAUUAUUUAAUUUCAUCCCAAGCAUGAAGUAAUAAUGCAACACCCCAUGUUGAAACAUUUAGUCUUGAAAGCUUGUGCUAUCGUUGUGCAUAUAUUAUGGACUGUAUAUUUUAAUCAGAAUACUGAGAGUACUGAAUCAGGGAAUACUCCAAUUUUGCUACACUUUUGUGUCUGGCAAAAUAUUUUUUAUACUCAUGAGCUCUCUCUAAACAUACACAACUCUCAAGUAAUAUAUAUAUCUUUUUGUAUAUCAUGCUAAGCGAGUACUUUCUGAGGAAGCAUUUAGAUUUUUGCCCUCAGCUCCCUUUCAGAUUAUUUCUGUGUGCCUGUAUUGACUGGAUAGCAUUUUCAUACAUUAACUAUAAAACCCCCUUGGAGAUCUGUAAUGUAUGCUCAAUUGACAGCAUUGUAUGGGGACUUUUUUGCUUUGUUUUUGAUAUUUGUUGGAGAGUUUUUUUAAAUAUUUGCAGAAUUAAUUCUUUGUUUGCUCAAUUAUUUAGAUUUGGUGAGAGAAAACUAGAACUGCAAAAUUAACAGACUGCUGCUAUAGAGGCACAGUAGGAUUGUCUCGCUGUGGAUCCCUAUACUUUUGUUUGCAGUCAACUUCUCAUGAAAAGGGACAAAUCUGUUAUCUUGCCUAGCAGCAGUCUGUUACAAAGCACUUUAGAAACAGAGAUCUAAAGAAGCAGGAAGAGUGAAACAGAAGUUAUCAGGAUCAGCACCAUGGAGAACUAUUGAUUCUCCUGACACAAAAGGCUUUGCUUUCUCACACUCUGUAUGACCAUCCCACUCUUGGUUGUAUGAGAAGAUGAACACAGGUGAGAAACACGUGAUAAAAACAACCCGGUCCAAAACAAGCAUCAGUGAAACAGAAGAUGGGUUAGAAAGAUCUCGGGGAAACAGGCAUCCCACCAGAAAAGCGAACAGGGAAGAUCUCCUGGAAUUCUACCUCCGUAUGCAGGAUGAGCAAGAUGACAUCUUCACUCUGCCAUGUCCUAACUCCUUGAGGAGAGACAUCAAAGUACUUCAGUGUUUCAUAAAGAUGCAUGAACCACCUGGAGAUGUCAUCCAUGAAGAAGUUCUUAUUGAGACUGAAGUUACUGAAAUAAAGAAAAAAAAUCUCACCGAAGCUGUAAACCAAAUGCAAGAAUAACAAAUCACCAGCUAGAAGGGCUGAAAAAAAAAAAAAAAGAAAGCAAUUUUCCAAAAGAUGAGUGUGACUGUGUGGGUGAGACAGUUGCCAAAUACAAAAUUCUGUUGUCAAUGAUCACAAGACUGUGGUGGGGGGCACACAAAAAUAACUAUUAACAACUAUUAACUACUGUAAAAGUAUUUCUGCUUGAACAUAAUGCUCAUUUAUAAUUUUGGAGAGAUGUACUCUGUUAGCUAAGAGAUGUACCAAUUCUAUCUGUGUGAAAAUAGAAUAAAAUUAUGAUUUUUCUGAUCUUUGUAAUUCA